Eriocheir sinensis (Chinese mitten crab) is the source of this 938-nucleotide long non-coding RNA. RefSeq lists it as uncharacterized. NCBI's taxonomy places the organism in Eukaryota, Metazoa, Arthropoda, Malacostraca, Decapoda, Varunidae. The record is from RefSeq and is a predicted model, not a curated record. The transcript is spliced from 2 exons.
GGGUUAGAGGAAGACUUUGGACCUCAUGGUUUGAAGGGAGAGAAUUUGAUGCUUCUUGUGGGGAAUGGAGAAGAUAGGGAUAUGGUUGAGGAGGAGGUUGUUGGGGUUGCAGAGGUGUGGGUUGAGGAGGUUGUGGGGGUGAAGGAGAAGGUUGUGAGGGUUGAAGGAGGAGGUUGUGGGUGGUGGAGGAAGAGGUUGUGACAGAGUUGGAGGAGGAGGAUGCAAGGGUUGAGUAAGAGGUUGUGGAGUUAGAAAAAGAGGUUGAGGAGAUGGAGGAGGAGGCUGUGGAGUUAGAAAGGGAGGUUGUGUGGGUUGAAGAAGGAGGAGGAGGUUGUGGGGAGGUUCAGAAGGUGGUUAGGUGGAGCUGAGGAAGAAGUGGAGAUGAAGGAGGAGGAGGAGGUUGAGAUGGAGGUUUUGUAGGGUGAGAAGAUUCUGGAGGUUGAGGAGGAGGUUUUAGAUGUCGAGGAGGAGGUUCUGGAGGUUGAGGAGGAGGUUACAGAGAUUGAAGAGGAGGUUUUGAAGGUCGAGAAGAGGGUUGUGUGAGGAUGAGGUUAUGGAGAUCUAUGAGGAGGUUGUGGAUAUCGAGGAGGAGGUUGCGGAGGUUGAGAGGUUAUGGAGAUCGGGAAAGAGGUUGCGGAGGUUGAGAGAGGUUAUGGAGGUUGAGGAAAGGGUUCUGGAGGUUGAGAAAGAAGUGGAGUUCGAGUAGAAGGUUCUGAUGGAAGAGGUUUUUUCAUUCUCUCUCUCUCUCUCUCUCUCUCUCUCUCUCUCUCUCUCUCUCUCUCUCUCUCUCUCUCUCUCUCUCUCUCUCAUUUACCACUCCUUAUACAUUGAUUUUACUUUUUUUCAUCUUAUUUUCUCUUUCAAAGCUAACACUCUCUCUCUCUCUCCCUCUCUCUCUCUCUCUCUCUCUCUCUCUCUCUCUCUCUCUCUCACGUAAA